UCUGGGUAUGUUGAUGCACACCUGUAGUCCCAGCUACUUGGGAGGCUGAGGUGGGAGAAUCUCUUGAACCUGAGAGGCGGAGGUUGCAGUGAGCUGAGAUUGCGCCACUGCACUCCAGCAUGGGUGACUCUGUCUCAAAAAAAAAAAAAAAAAAAAAAGAUUAAAGGAAAAAAAGACUGGCGGAAGUUCAGUAGGUUAAGUGGACUAGAAGUUAUUAAAAUCUUUUUUUUUUUUUUUUUUUUAGUAGACAGAGUCACCCAUGCUGGAGUGCAGUGGCGCAAUCUCAGCUCACUGCAACCUCCGCCUCUCAGGUUCAAGAGAUUCUCCCACCUCAG
Molecule: signal recognition particle RNA, 335 nt
Filed under: Chlorocebus sabaeus (green monkey)
Lineage: Eukaryota; Metazoa; Chordata; Mammalia; Primates; Cercopithecidae
Description: Metazoan signal recognition particle RNA
Rfam family: Metazoan signal recognition particle RNA
About the family: The signal recognition particle (SRP) is a universally conserved ribonucleoprotein. It is involved in the co-translational targeting of proteins to membranes. The eukaryotic SRP consists of a 300-nucleotide 7S RNA and six proteins: SRPs 72, 68, 54, 19, 14, and 9.
Source: Rfam by way of RNAcentral